Molecule: ribosomal RNA, 450 nt
Filed under: uncultured bacterium
Lineage: Bacteria
Description: bacterial SSU rRNA
Rfam family: Bacterial small subunit ribosomal RNA
Source: RNAcentral
GAAUUCACUAGUGAUUCAGGCCUAACACAUGCAAGUCGAGCGGGGUUUUCGGACCUAGCGGCGGACGGGUGAGUAAUGCGUAGGAAGCUGCCCGAUAGAGGGGGAUACCAGUUGGAAACGACUGUUAAUACCGCAUAAUGUCUACGGACCAAAGUGUGGGACCUUCGGGCCACAUGCUAUCGGAUGCGCCUACGUGGGAUUAGCUAGUUGGUGAGGUAAUGGCUCACCAAGGCGACGAUCUCUAGCUGGUUUGAGAGGAUGAUCAGCCACACUGGAACUGAGACACGGUCCAGACUCCUACGGGAGGCAGCAGUGGGGAAUAUUGGACAAUGGGCGCAAGCCUGAUCCAGCCGAUGCCGCGUGUGUGAAGAAGGCCUUCGGGUUGUAAAGCAAUGUCAGCGAGGAGGAAGGGUGGUGUGUUAAUAGCACAUCUUCUUGACGUACUCGCAG